This 222-nucleotide ribosomal RNA is filed under the name uncultured bacterium. Its description in RNAcentral is "partial 16S ribosomal RNA". It matches the Rfam family "Bacterial small subunit ribosomal RNA", at positions 524 to 745 of the family's 1533-position model. The record is from RNAcentral.
UACGAAGGGGGCUAGCGUUGCUCGGAAUCACUGGGCGUAAAGGGUGCGUAGGCGGGUCUUUAAGUCAGGGGUGAAAUCCUGGAGCUCAACUCCAGAACUGCCUUUGAUACUGAAGAUCUUGAGUUCGGGAGAGGUGAGUGGAACUGCGAGUGUAGAGGUGAAAUUCGUAGAUAUUCGCAAGAACACCAGUGGCGAAGGCGGCUCACUGGCCCGAUACUGACG